Diorhabda sublineata is the source of this 268-nucleotide long non-coding RNA. RefSeq lists it as uncharacterized. Lineage: Eukaryota; Metazoa; Arthropoda; Insecta; Coleoptera; Chrysomelidae. The transcript is spliced from 3 exons. The record is from RefSeq and is a predicted model, not a curated record.
CGAAAAUAGCUGAAGAGUCUAUAGUGAAGUACCAACAGCGGAUUAAUGGUUACGAAAAUUUAAAAAAAGAAAAAGAUCAUUUCGAAGAACUUUACGUGAGAAUUAAUGCCAAAUACGAAGUGCUGGAACAACUUUUGACUUUUAAUGAAAAUAUUCAGGAGCCGAAUUUAUUGAACAAAGUGUUGUUUAAUCAGUGGAAAUCCAGUAGAUCCCACUACGAGACACAAAUUCAAAAAACCAACGAAAUACUCGAUAAAUUAACCAAUUG